UCUGUUUUUACUGGUUUGUGCAGACCCCACUCCGUGUUGCUUCGUCAGCUUCGUGGGGUCUCCCUGCUGCCUGCUUUGUAAAAGGAAAUGGUUUCUGCCUCCAAUUCUCCUCAGCCGGAGUUCACAUUCUGUCUUAUUUUACAGGACAAGGUUCUUUAACUUUGUCAGGCACCUUUCCAAGCUCUCUUAUUUAUCAAGGUGAUGGCAUCUGUAGGCCGCGACUUCUAGGCUUUGCCCACAGUUGAAGUCGGCACAGCUGUGGUAACACUGUGAUGACAUAGGCAUAGCCACAUGGGUCCAUUGAAGGAAAUGUGCUUCCAGGACAUUAGACCCGGACCACGAAAGAAGGAAGACGGGAGCUCUGGGGUCCAAGAGAGUCUCCUUCUGGCUGUCCUAGGACAAAAUCACAGCAUUUUCGGUUCCAAGUUUAUCUUCCAUUGUAGAGAGUCUUGCAGCGCUAACCGUUCCACCAAAUGGAAUGAGUAUUCCGAUGGCCUGAGAAGAAGAGUUGGCUUUAUAAACAGAGAGAGGCCGAAGAAGGCAGAAACAAAGGCUGGAAAGCAGACUGGCCCUCUCCAAGCUACUUUCCUCGUAAGGCGGGCACAGGGCUCCAGAACAAUAGGUCACAGCGCCCUCGAGGCCAGCAGGGGGACCCCUCCGGGGCGUGUGAGUGAGCGCUGUCCGCUGUCCGCAGGCCCUGCACUGCCCGCCUCUCCCACGGCAGCCUGGCUUCCCUGUGGGGAGGCGCCCCGACCCCACUCGGCUGCGCGCCCAGGGCUGUUUUACACUGCGCUUGGCUCCUGGGAAGCUGCAUGGCGUCUCCCGAGCUGUUGAAGGAAGGAGUCACCCGCAGUCUCGGAACCCUCAGGGAGCUUCAGUGUGGGGACUGAACACCAGAAAGACCUUGACAGUUAGAAGGUGGACCCCAGCCUCCAGCAAGGACCCCUAACCCCUGAAGGCUGAGGUGAUCACCAGUGGCCAAAAUGUAACCGAUCGAGCCCCCAUGAUGAAGCCCACAAAGCCCACCAGCCAGGUUUGGAAAGUUCCACUGCAGGCACCAGGAGGGUGAUGUGCUGCCCGAAGGGCAUGGAAGCUCUGCCCCUCCACACGGGCCCUGCUGUUCUCCCUGCUACUCUUCCAAGUCCUUUGUAACAUCCUUUCUGAUAAAUGGAAAUCACCUCCAGAUUUGGACUCCCUAAGAGCUUGCAGAGUGAUAAUGGGCCUUCUUUUAAAGCACCAGCCACACAGGGUGUCUCUCAGGCUCUGGGCAUCCCCCGUCUGCUUCAUUGUGCUUGGAGGCCACACUCAUCAGGAAAGGCUAAAAAG
RNAcentral lists this long non-coding RNA (1326 nucleotides) under Heterocephalus glaber (naked mole-rat). RNAcentral describes it as "lncRNA (ENSHGLG00000038785.1)". Lineage: Eukaryota; Metazoa; Chordata; Mammalia; Rodentia; Bathyergidae. The record is from RNAcentral.